Molecule: small RNA, 130 nt
Filed under: Actinoplanes regularis
Lineage: Bacteria; Bacillati; Actinomycetota; Actinomycetes; Micromonosporales; Micromonosporaceae
Description: c-di-AMP sequence
Rfam family: c-di-AMP riboswitch aptamer (ydaO/yuaA leader)
About the family: This family represents a conserved RNA structure found upstream of the ydaO and yuaA genes in Bacillus subtilis and related genes in other bacteria.
Source: Rfam by way of RNAcentral
GUCCGUACCGCGCCGCGCGAGAACCGGCGGCGCAACCGGUCGGACCUCGGGGUGAAGCCACCACGGUGGCCGGGCAAGCCUUCCCGCCCGAACCCGACAGCUAACCUCGCAGGCGUGCCGGAGGGAUCUC